GGGGAACUCUGGCUCAAAUUUUCAAUAAAACAUGGGAAGGACAAUGUCUUUUUGAUAAAUAGAGCUGUAUUUCAUUCAAAGAUAACACAAAAUAGAUGGACAUGAUCUAAAUCUUACUACUAUUGUGGUGAUUGUGAAGUUCUGUUUGGUAUAUCUCUUAGUUAAUUCAUCUUCUUCUCCUUUUUAUUUAUUUAUUUUUUGUAUGCAACAAUACGACUUGGUUAUUUAGUCUUUUAAGGUCAUUGUGGUGUAGUUGCAAAGUUUCUUCAAACUAACGUGCUACCUUGCUGAUAAUUAAUAUUUUUUCUUUGGAGAAAAUGGGUAAAAGCAAGGUGCUUGAUAUUUUUAGCUUUUCCUGGCACUGAGAGUGGAUAUAUUGAUUUCUGCAAGUGGCUACAAGAAAAGCCAGUGUAUUGGUGUGGGGACAUUUUUUACUAGGAGAAGAGAAAAUAGCCAUCUAUAAUUUAUCUAUAACUUCAGAAAAAAAAAAACAAAAAAGAGUAUAAUGUAGUAUUUCGGUGUCUUAAGCCCCCACAUUUAUCAUUUAUUGGUUUCAGAUGUAAAGAACUGAUACAAUAUUUUUCUUUUGUGGACUAGACAAUCUUAAAUCACACCUUCUGAUUGUUUUCUGUUAUAGCUUGUUGGAAGGUGAAAAGUUGGAGUUUCAUCAGUCUCUUAACUCUAUCAAUUUAGAACUUCAGGUAAUUUUUAUUCAUGCAUUUCUUUAGCAGUCACAUAAUAUAGAUAUGGCAAAAUGUGCCAAAAUUCAGUUUUUCAUAUUUCUUCACCUGCAACAGAAUGGAUCAGCAAGGGUACGGACAGCCCCCACCUGCAGGGGUAGUGGGUAGUACAGGUCAGAUGCCGUAUGGCACAAACCCUUAUCAGCCAAAUCAAACGUCUUCUGCCCAAAAUCCAGGAUCCAUUGGGACCAUCCAAUCUGCUGGGCAGCCAGCAGGAGCUCAGCUUGCGCAGAAUCAACUUGCUUAUCAGCAAAUCCACCAUCAACAGCAACAGCAACUACAGCAACAACUUCAGACUUUUUGGGUAAAUCAGUAUCAAAAAGUGGACAAAGUUGUUGACUUCAAGAAUCAUAGCCUUCCCUUAGCAAGGAUCAAGAAGAUCAUGAAGGCUGAUGAGGAUGUAAGGAUGAUAUCAGCUGAGGCCCCAGUUGUAUUUGCCAGGGCGUGUGAAAUGUUUAUUUUAGAACUGACCUUACGGUCUUGGAAUCAUACAGAGGAGAACAAAAGGAGGACAUUACAAAAGAAUGAC
Molecule: unclassified non-coding RNA, 1269 nt
Filed under: Hevea brasiliensis (rubber tree)
Lineage: Eukaryota; Viridiplantae; Streptophyta; Magnoliopsida; Malpighiales; Euphorbiaceae
Source: RNAcentral